This 594-nucleotide ribosomal RNA is filed under the name Triticum aestivum (bread wheat). RNAcentral describes it as "partial small subunit ribosomal RNA". Lineage: Eukaryota; Viridiplantae; Streptophyta; Magnoliopsida; Poales; Poaceae. The record is from RNAcentral.
AUGAAUAGUUUUGGAGCCCGAAAUCCGAGCAUUUCUCUAUUCGAACGCCGGUGCCCUUUAAGGAGGGUGCGGUUCUUGGUCACCGACUACAAGCAGUUGUGGCCCAAGAAGUAUAAACCGAUUCUACGGAGGCUGUCAUGCUACGACAUUGUCGAUUUCGACUCGAACAAUGAUGUGCACUGCUUCCACCAUGUGAUCCUUGGACUGUUGAGGGACAGGAACCUGAUCAUACGCCGGCAUCCUACAAGAAACCCCAAGGGACACUCCAUGGUGGGAUUCACAAGAUUCCUGCGCCGCGCCUACGGUCUCCGAAGAGACAGGCCUCUGGCCCUAGGCGAAAACUCCGGCAAGAAGCCGAGGAUGCUGAUCAUAUCUCGCCGAGGGACACGGAGGCUCCUGAACCUGCACCAGGUGGAGACUAUGGCAACAUUGGUAGGAUUCGACGUGACGGUCUCCGAGGCUAGGGACAACGACAUCAAGAGGUUCGCAGAGACGGUGAACUCUUGCGACGUGCUGGUGGCGGUGCACGGUGCUGGCCUGACCAACCAGGUGUUCCUCCCGGCGCGGGCGGUGGUGGUUCAGAUCGUGCCGUGA